GAUGAACGCUGGCGGCGUGCCUAAUACAUGCAAGUCGAACGCUGGAGCUCUAGCUUGCUAGAUCGAAGGAGUGGCGAACGGGUGAGUAAUACAUAAGCAACCUACCCACGAAGACUGGGAUAAUCUCUGGAAACGGGGACUAAUACCGGAUAGGUAAUCGGAAGGCAUCUUCUGGUUAUUAAAGGUUAAAAACACUGGUGGAUGGGCUUAUGGCGCAUUAGUUAGUUGGUGAGGUAACGGCCCACCAAGACGAUGAUGCGUAGCCGGCCUGAGAGGGUGAACGGCCACAUUGGGACUGAGACACGGCCCAGACUCCUACGGGAGGCAGCAGUAGGGAAUUUGCGGCAAUGGGGGCAACCCUGACCGAGCAACGCCGCGUGAGUGAAGACGGCCUUCGGGUUGUAAAGCUCUGUUGUAAGGGAAGAACGGUAGAUAGAGAAUAUCUAAGUGACGGUACCUUACCAGAAAGCCACGGCUAACUACGUG
Molecule: ribosomal RNA, 486 nt
Filed under: uncultured bacterium
Lineage: Bacteria
Description: partial 16S ribosomal RNA
Rfam family: Bacterial small subunit ribosomal RNA
Source: RNAcentral